RNAcentral lists this ribosomal RNA (478 nucleotides) under bacterium mbm02. Its description in RNAcentral is "bacterial SSU rRNA". It matches the Rfam family "Bacterial small subunit ribosomal RNA", at positions 20 to 497 of the family's 1533-position model. The record is from RNAcentral.
CUGCUCAGGAUGAACGCUAGCGGCAGGCUUAUACAUGCAAGUCGAACGGAUCUGGGGACUUCGGUUCCCGGGUUAGUGGCGCACGGGUGCGUAACGCGUAUGCAACCUACCUUCCACUGGGGGAUAGCCCACCGAAAGGUGGAUUAAUACCGCAUAUGACCACAGGAGGGCAUCCGAUUGUGGUAAAAGCUGAGGCGGUGGAAGAUGGGCAUGCGUGCCAUUAGCUAGUUGGCGGGGUAAAGGCCCACCAAGGCGACGAUGGCUAGGGGUUCUGAGAGGAUGGUCCCCCACACUGGUACUGAGACACGGACCAGACUCCUACGGGAGGCAGCAGUAGGGAAUAUUGGGCAAUGGCCGAGAGGCUGACCCAGCCAUGCCGCGUGCAGGAAGAAGGCCUUCUGGGUUGUAAACUGCUUUUACCAAGGAAGAAAACGCCCAUGCGUGGGUAACUGACGGUACUUGGUGAAUAAGCACCGGC